GGAAUUCCGGACUUGCGAUGAAACUAUACAUAAUUUAUAGUAACGUAUCGGACGUAUAAUUCGUUUGUUAAAGGCGAUUGAACGUGAUCCGAUUUUGAUUUAGAUUUUGAUUACCGGAAUAAAACUCAAUUAAAAACAACUUUACAAUACAUAUGUAUUAUAUGCAUUUGAAGUACGCCAGACAUUGAAAGAUUUAUAUACGUUAUGUCGCUAAUCUAGAAUUGUCUUACAUUUACUGUGUGCAAAAUGUCGUAUUUUCGUUUAUUGUUAUUGUAUAUACCGGUAGGAAAUUUCUACAAAUUUAGAAAGAUGAACACAAGAAUAUUUUGGAUGUACGUCAAAGACACAACAACCC
This 355-nucleotide long non-coding RNA is filed under the name Mytilus galloprovincialis (Mediterranean mussel). Lineage: Eukaryota; Metazoa; Mollusca; Bivalvia; Mytilida; Mytilidae. The record is from RNAcentral.